This 72-nucleotide transfer RNA is filed under the name Cavia porcellus (domestic guinea pig). It matches the Rfam family "tRNA". From Rfam's summary of the family: Transfer RNA (tRNA) molecules are approximately 80 nucleotides in length. Their secondary structure includes four short double-helical elements and three loops (D, anti-codon, and T loops). The record is from Rfam by way of RNAcentral. Lineage: Eukaryota; Metazoa; Chordata; Mammalia; Rodentia; Caviidae.
AGGGGUGUAGCUUAAUGGUAGAGUGCUUGCCUAGCCUGCACGGGGCCCUGGGUUCCAUCCUCAGCACCACCA